Molecule: long non-coding RNA, 24985 nt
Filed under: Ananas comosus (pineapple)
Lineage: Eukaryota; Viridiplantae; Streptophyta; Magnoliopsida; Poales; Bromeliaceae
Description: long non-coding RNA (ACOM_LNC022737)
Source: RNAcentral
GAGAGAGAGAGAGAGAGAUGAAGGUCCAUGUUCAUCACUAGUCCUGCUCACUGCUAUCAUCAAAAAGACUUGCACGCUGCUUCUCUGAAAGAAACUUUUUUCUAGGACCUAAUUUAGCAAACAUACAUAAGGGGGCUUCCUUCUUCAGCAUUAAAUAUUUCAUAUUCUCAUGUCACAAUCAGCUCCCUGAAAUAAAGCACCACGCCAAAACAUCUUGCAUAGUAUUUGCACUGAUUUUUCCAUUUGCGAGCAUAUACGCGAGUUCUUAUCAGCAAAACCAACAAUUGUAGGAUCAUAGAAAAUAAUCGGGUGUUCUUCGCGUAACAUCAGGUUCACCUCUCCUCGGUGCUGGCUCAAACUGCAACAAUAAGACAACAACAUUAGACAACAACAUCAGGUUCACCUCUCCUCCUCCUCCUCUAAAGGAUACUCUUCAACGACAUUUUUGAUAAAUGAUCAAAGAGUCUUAGAAUGAUUCAGAAACCAUAAUAUCAAGAAUAAAAGGACAAAAAAACAUGAAAAAAAAGGCUGGAAUUAACACCUGGAUAAAUGUGUGCCCCUUGCAAUCAUCAACCUCCAAGAUGGAGGCCAUGUUCCUGCAUCUGUAGCAGUAAUUAGGUGCACUGAAUAUAGUUACCACCUUUUGCUCCUGUACAAGAAAGGCACCAUACUAUUACAAUUACUGAAAAACAAGCACAGACAAAUAUAUAGAUAUAGUAAACAAGAAUAAUCAACUAUUUACGUGUCCCCAAUUAUAUCCUUCCAUGACUAGCUGAUGAGCUCUGGCUAUGAGUUUAAGGUUGUUGGUAUGAUUGAAUUGUUCUGAUAUAUCCUGCAGUCAGCCCGAAAAAAAAGAGUAUAAGAAAAGGCUGCAGCUCAAAUUCACAAUAUAGAUGAGUCUAGAAGUCAGCAUGUUUACUUGGCCAAAUGUAUAUCCAGCACCACGAGGAGAAAUCCCCCAGCCACAUCGGUCAUGUGGAUCAGACCACGAGAUCACACAUUGGCCCGUCACGAGGAACUUCUUGAACGCGAUCCAAGUUUCGGAUGCUAUCAAGCGUCUCGAUAGAUGGAGACAAACCACCGUGCAGGCAGAAUAUUUCUGAUUCAACCUUCAAGCAGAACAAAGAUAAAACAACAGCAAUGAUUAGCUGGAUGAUCUAAUAACAAGAAAAGGAAACACAAUGAUCAAGUAGUUGUAUAUUUCAGUUUCAGUUAAUAGAGAAUAGUCAUUACAGAACAGAUGAAAAGAGUAACACAAGUGAGGUUCUAUAGCAAGUUUGGACACACACCAGUGCUGUCAGCGGAAAGUAGUCAAAAAGAUCAGUAAACAGAAAAUAAAAAUGUCACCUCAAAUUCGCUUAAUUAUACAAAAUUAGCUAACUAAAAAAGAUCCAUUAAAAUGAUCGCCAGAUCCUAUAAAUGCAAUUAAAUCAAAAAGCUUCUGUACUAAAUAGAUACUAUUAGACGAUAGAAGGGUUAAAAAACUUGCAUCACAACUAAAAUUCAAGGGGAAUAAAGUAUACAAAAAUACACAUUAAAUUUUUAGGAGAAAUACCGACCGUCCCUAAAGCAAGUGGUAAAGGGCUUGGUGGUCGGUACCUGAGAUCCAAGUUCGAAUUCUAGUUAAUUCACAUUUCUAGCUAAGUUUAUUUCUAAAUGAAAUAAACAAAACGGGUAGCGUGCAACCUAUCUCUCAAAAAAAAAAUUUAAGAGAAAUCAGCAAGCUUACUGCCAAAAGAAUGCAUGAUAAGCUUGACAAGUCCAGUAGCUAUAUUCGAUUUAUAUUUUGUUUACCAAUAGAAAUUUAGGAUGCAUAACCUUACCGUUGGAACUUAUAGUUAUGAAGUUUUUAAAUAUGCAAUUUUCUUUCAGAUUUGCAGAUGUUGAAGGACCAUGCGAGUAAGCAUGAGGAACUAAUUGCAUUGAUUGCCUCACAAUUACCUAGUAACUAGUGGUUUUUUAUGCAAAUUGAUCAUUUAAAAUAUAAUAUUAAAUUCAAAAUUUAAAUUUAAAUUUAAUUUUUUUUAAAAUUAUUUUUAUAAAAGUCAUUUUGAUAAGUUUUCUUAUUUUGCCCACUUUCGAGGAACUAAACAUGGACACAUAGCCUAAAGUAGCUGCAGAAUGGAGCGGAUCAACCUACUUAGCGGAUCAAGCUACUAGCAUCCGACCCGUUACGCCUCUUCACAAGGAAAAAUUCUAGAAUGCAACGAAUAUAUUGGUGACGUGGCGUAACAAAUCAAUCAAAAAAUUCUGUUUAGAAAUAUAUGUCCCAUCAUGAUUGUAAAAAAAUAUUUUUAUUAUACUUUUGUUUGAAAUAAAGAAAUGUGAUUGAUUUGUUAUUGAUGACGUGGUGAAGGUGUGAUAGUGUAGAAUUCCUCCUUCACAAGGGGCCAGGCCAACGCAGUCAAAGGCCGGGACCGCCUAUGAGGAUUUUUCCUUUUUUUCUUGAGUCUGUUCUUUUCUACAUUUUAGACUUUAGUCCCUCAACUGGGUCUAUAAAUAAGCACAGUGUAGCUAUUUCUCUCUCUUUGUUUUCCUUUCCCCAUCCUCUUAUGUCCAUCCUCGGCGAUCACCGGAGCUGGUGAUCAUCGGCGUGGGACCGUGACAUUACCGGUGGGUAAUCCUUUGAUUUCUAGUAUAGAUAUAAAAAAUUUUAAGGAUCGAAUUACUUCUUUCAGUAACAAUGGGAUUGGAGAAGAUAUAGGAAUUGUAUUGAUUUCAAAGGGUACGAAAAUGGAUAACUAGUAUAGAUAUUAAAAAUACAUUUGUUCAAUCAUCGUUCGCGCAAUUCCUUUACAUGAAGAAGAAUUAUAUUGAUUUCAAAGGGUACGAAAAUGGAGAUAAUUUACCUGAUAUAAUGCCAUUCCAUCCUAAUUAUAUUCGUUUUCGAUUUAUGGAUAGCUUAAUAGCUAAUAAAGCAUCGGUCACGCUGGGUUCUUUCAAACUUUAUGACUUUUCACCACGUACUACUUUUAUGAGUAGGGAUAAGCUUACGCUAAAGGUUAAUGAGUUGUUACAAAAUCUUAUUAUAAAAGAAUUGAUGUAUUCCUUUUUUAAAAAACUCCAUGUAGAUGGUGAUAGAAUCUUAGAAUUCAUUCAAACUAAAACGAAACCAACGAGGGGUAUAGGUUUAUUAUAUUUUAUAUUGAUGGAUUUGUAUUUAGAGCAUGUUGAUUACUUCAUAUAUGAGUCGAUAAACAAGUCUGGACCGGAUCGGGUCUGGAUAAUUAAUAUACUGUAUCCAUACCCUAAAAAAAAAUGAUCACAAAAAAAUAUAUAUACCCUACCCAUUUAAUUUCAGGUCGGGUCCGGAUCUGGAUACUAAAGUUACUAAUAUACCCAUCGGGUCUAUUUGAGCGGGUCUGGAUAGUGACUAUCCGAAUACUGCUCGUUUAAGACCGGAUACGGAUCGGAUUUAGAUCGGGCACAGAUAUCCGUAUAAAUAUAUUUUUUUUAUAAAUUUUGUUAAAUAGUCAAUAGACAAACUAUAAAGCCCACCAUAAAAAAAACGCACAUUUUAAUAAGUUGUACCAUCCAAUAAAAUAUUGUUGGCGAAAAUGAAAUGAAAAAAAAGAGUAAAGAAAAAGAGUAAAAAAAUUAGAAAAAGAUAAUGAGUAAAAGAGAUGGCAAAGAUUUUAUUAUGAUGAAAAUACAUAGUGACUCAUCAUCUAUAAGUCAUACUAAAAUUGAUCAUUUAACUUCAAAAGUUAAUUUUUUUUAUUUACUAUCGGAUAUUUUAUCGGGUCCGGAUCCGGGUCCGGGUUCGGGUCCAGGUUCGGAUUUGAAAACUACUCCGGACCCUACCGAUUUAAAAGUUAGGUUUGGGUCGGGUCCAAAUCGGAUAUGUGUAUAAAAUAUCCGGAUCCAUACCCGAAAUUUUAAUGGGUAAUUUUUUUUAUCCGUAUACUAUUUAUUUUUUAUCGGGUCCGGUUUGGAUCCGGGUAGGGUUCGAGUCGGGUAUGGGAUAUCAGAUAUUUUGGAUACCUUUAAUUAUAUCGAUAUUUUUUAUUUUUUCUGUAAUAUUUAGUAAACCGUUAGUAUAGUGAUAAUAAUUUUUAAUUGUAUAAAUAAUAUUGGCUCUAUUUUAUUAACUUAUUUUAUAAAUUGGGCCAACAAUUGGGCCAAUAUUGGGUUUGAAAAGGCAUGGACCUCCGUUGGAAUAUAGAAAUUAAUUAGCCCUACUCCAUCUCUCUCUCUCUCUCCCCCUUUUUUUUUUUCAGAUCGGAGUUUCCACGCACCGCGAGCUUGGAGCUCUCUCUCUCGAUCUCUCUCCCUUUCUUCUCACUUGGAUCUACACACGAUUCCACGAUCGGGAGAGGUGAGCUAUUGAUUUUUCUUUCAUUUUUGGCUUUGAUCUCGCAGUGUUAGUGCAAUUUGAUCUAGCUUCUCAAUUAAGCCGAAGUGUUCGUAAUGGGGGGUUUUAGGAGUUAAUUUUUGGAUUCGCUUGCGAUUUGUGGGAGAUAUUAUCCAGUUUUUUGACAAUGUUCGAUCAUCUACAUGCUCAUCUCUUUUAAAUUUGUUUCGAAGCCGAAAUUUAGGUCUCUUUUGUGCUUCAUUAACACUGAUUGAUUGAGUAAGCUUUGCGAGACUAUUUAGGUUUCAAGAACGGUUUUACUUGUGAAUCUCCAUUGCUCUUAUGACAUGUUUGCUCUGAUUAUGUUUUAGGUCCUUUGGACCAGCAUAACAAAUUAAAAAAAGUGCGAGAUCAAAUACUUCUUUGUCACAAUUACAACCCAACUGAUUCUAGUCCAAAUUUUGAAGCGUAAAUCACCUGAUGGCUUGGCGCACGUAGAGGAGAUGCUUCUUGUAGUAACUAACUCUGGUGCGGUCAUUUAGGGCUUCUUUAAGAGAUACAGUCUUAUUGUUGUGCUCAUCAACACCUAAAGAAGAAUAACAAGAGAAAAGUAAAUCACAUUGUGCUCGCCAUUUGAUUAGCUAAACCACUCAUAAUACUGAACUAUGAGCUUCAUAAUAAUGGAUAUGAAAGGGGCUAUCUUACCGUUCUCUGUAAUGUAAAUGACUGGGUUGUUGUACUUGGACUUGGUAUAGAGUAAGAGUUGUCUUAUUCCCGGUGGGUAGAUGUAAAGCCAUCCUGAAGCAGCCUGUGAAACACCUCUGACCUUAGAGCUCAUUUUAUAAAAUCUCAUUUGUGUCACCUAUCUCACUUCUAAACCCCAGGUUAGUUCAUGUGGAUCUAAACCUUUUUUCCUUUUUUUUUUUAAAUUGAAAAGUAAUGAUGCAUACCUGUGGUCCAAUCGGGUGUUAGAAAAUGUUAUAAUGGUGUCAGAACUCAAGACAACAAUAUAUAGGAAGAAGGUUUUGGGAUGCUGAAAGGUCUUUUUUUUUUAGUCAUGAACCUUUACCUGUUGCAUUAAUCUGUGCAUCAGUGGAAAAGGUUGCAUUAACAUUGUUGGGAGGUGGAGGAACACUGUAAGUGUAGCUGGCAGUAUAGUAGUUAACCCCAAUGAAGUCGUAUGAUCCCUUAACCAGCUCGGACUGCUUUUUAGAAAAUACCGGCAGACGAUUGCCGACUAAACUUUGCAUGCUUGAGGGAUACUUCCCUCGAGUUAAUGGUUCCAGGAACCUGUUUAUAAAGUUACGAAGAAAUGAAAUACAGGAUGAAACUCUAACAAAGAUCUAUUUUAUAUCCUUUGCUUCUACUUCUGUGUUAGUAUGAAGAUGCUCACCAUCUGGGUUUUCUAUGGAUUCCAACAUGCUAUCAAUAAUUAUAUUCUUUGUGAUUAAAAAUAUUUUUGAAGUUGAGAGGGUUUUCUAAUUAGCUUUGCUUGUGGUGUACAUGAUUUGUGGAGUCCCUGUUUAAGCUGUUGUGCAAGUAGAGCUCUUACAUGAACUGUUAUUUUGUGUUUGUUGUCCAAUGAAUUGUCUUGUGGAUAAUAUAUAUGAUAUUAGACCUAGCGUCGACAGUAAAAAAAAAAAGAAGAGUAAUAUAUAUAUAUAUAUAGAAUUAGGCUACUAUACUAUCUAUAGUAUAGACAUUAUGCAAGUCAUAGAGAAAUCCUUUGCAUAUAGAGGUUAGAUAAACUGUCAACAACACGCCUAGCCCCAACAACAGAGACUAAAGUUUAAAAUUUAAGUGUGCACGUGCAUUUUUUUUUUUUUUUACAUAUUUUUUAUGCUUAAGAUGAUGAAUGGCAAGCCCCUGGAAUAAAGAUGUAUUCAUGGUUUACAAAUGCCUAUGAGCUAUUCAUGUUCAAGCAUAAGAAUCAAAACGCAAUUAUAUAUAUUCAUGUUCAAGCAUAAGAAGGAUUGUACAUCCAGGUUCCAAAAGAAGAGAGAAAGGAAAUGAAAUAUGAAAGCUACUACAUUUGGCUUACCUUGAACUUAAAAAGUUUUCCUCUUUUGAGCAAUCUCCCAAACCUAGUUUUCACAGAUUGUUAUUAAAAAACAUUGCGUCGGCUAGCAAGAAUGAAUUGUUAUUUUUCCUUGAUUUUUUGUUUUAUGACUUGGGCAGAUAAGAAUAAAACCAGAAGUAUAGUCAUUACUGAUAAUGUUCUUAUGAGUAACCAAAAGGCCCCAGGUAUGAAAGGUGCACAAAGCGACCAAACCUGAUCAAUAAUUAGCAUUAGGUUCACCAAUCAGAAUAUUAGUUCCCUUGUGAUUAUGAAAUCUCAACCGAACCUCAAUUUGUGUUACAUAAGUAGGUGAUAUCAAACCUGACCUGUACUACACAAAUCUAAAUCAAACCCAACACAACCCGACCUAAAAUGAUAAAUUAAUAAUCAUAAAAGCUAAGCAACAUACAUUCUAUAUAUACACCACAUACAAUCGUAUAUAUUAGAAUUCUCCUUUUAGACCGGAUGAUACUAGAGAAGGAUAUGAUAUUCUAUUCCACUCUUUUUCAUCCUGGUUCUAGAGAAUGACUGAACCCUUGCAUUUCAAAUCAUCUCCCUAUAAAAUUUAUCAUUUGGAACCCAAGAAAUUGAAAUAAUUCAGCCCGACCUGAACCAACCUGGUUUUGACCCUAGUUUAGUGCAAUCCAAAAGAUUUUUUGUUAGGAUCAAAGCACAACCCGAGGUAGCAUUUGGUUAGAUAGAGUUGUCACUUAGCCUUCAACUCGACUCAACCCGUUCAAGUUGCACCUUACACAGGAUUAUUUUUCCUUAUGUUGGUCACGCAAUCUAACAAAAUAUAUGGACUGUAAUAUCUAUUAGAAGACAGAAGCUUAAUAUCCUAUCUCAUUUUUCACAAGGCUUUUAGUGUAAAAUCUAUUCAAGUUUGAUUUCUCCUCUUAAGACAUCACCCAGGUUCCAAACACCAAACAUCAAAACAAACUUCCAUACUUUUCAGUCUUGAUGAAAACAACAUCAUUAACUUACCUCAAAUGUAGAGAUGCAUACACCCUCAUUAUCCGAGAAUAUCAGUUGGAUAAAGUAGGCUAUACAUGGAGAGGCUUCGCCAUUCACAUUUGUCUAGGAAGAAACAUGAGAAAGAAUUCUUCAUCUUUACAGUACUUGAACAUUCAUAUUUGUCUAGGAAGUUGAUUCCAAAUUCUCUAUGUAAUCUUCAGAUUAUGAGGUUGAAGCUAGUACUUUUACAGUCAUCAUACAUAUUUCCAGCUGUUUUUUCAAUCACUUGUGCAUGCCGUUUCCUUAACUAGCAGAGAUUCCCUAAAAGUUAGCAAAUUGCAGAUGUCUAAGAAAUGGGGUAUGUGAUAUAUAUAUCUUACAUCUGAAUCUCUUUAAUUCCUACAAUUUUUAUCUAGUGCUAUGUACUUUGCCCUGUCGUCGUUAAUUCUCUACUUCAGAAAAUAGAGGAAACCAUUAAAUGUCAUGGUCGACUUAUGUUAUCAUAGACUUAACAUAUCUUUUUAGCAUCCAGCUUUACUCUUCUUUUUUCUCUCUUUUUUCUUCCUCCUUGUUUGGACUUCUCUCAUCAUAGUCUAAUGUUCUAUUUGCGACUAAAAUUCUUUACUUGCUUGUUAAUAAGGGUGGACAGAUCUCUGUUUCCUGGUUAACAGUUAAUCUACCCUCUUUUUCCUUCCCACCUUUCUGAACAAGUUGUGAGAGUGUUAUACAAACUUUCCUUUUUUAUUUCGUUAGGAUGAUCAAUUUAGAAGUAUGUAAACAUUAGGAUUUUGUGAUUCAUUUCACUGUAGGACUUUCGUAAACUCUAGCAUGAAAUGGGCCUCGCGUGAAGUGUCUAUAGCCGUCUAUAGACAAGUUUGAGCUUGUGUUUAUUCUGUGGCUCCAAAAGAAUGAACUCUGAUUUCUUGUUCAAUUAUAUGGUUAUUUUCCAAAGGGUAGGAAAUUUUCUGAUAGAAGUUUCGAAAAUUCGGCUUCUGCAAUCAUAUCACCUAUGACCUAUCUCUUUCCAUCUUUUGGGGGUACCGAAGACUCACAAUUGACAAAAAGAAAAAAAAGGGCAAGGAGUGAAGGAUCGCAGUUAUUUUCAAAACAACUCUGUAGUAUCAGGUAGACGUAGUAGUUGAAAGGAGUCCACAUGCAACGUAUGAAACCUUAGUUAACCACAGUUUCUUCUAGUUCUUUGCUCUAAAGCAUUCUGAAUAUUAGAAGUGGAAGAAUUGGAGAAGGAUUCUUCGAUUGAAGUAAGUAGUGAACAUCGCUUCUUCAAUUAGGGCGAGGAGCCAACGAUUUCAGCGUAUUCAAAGUGAUAUGUCAGAUCAGGUUGUUGUGGUAGUAAAAAGGAGUCUAGAUGCAAGUAAUGUAACUAUAGUUGACUCCAGUUUCUUUCAAGUUCUUUUUUCGAAUGUGUUCUGAAAACUAGAAUCGCAAGAACUGCGCAAGAACUGGAGAAAACUGGGAUGCUAGUAAGAAGUAUUAAACAAUGUUUUUUCAUUUAGAACUCGAUUAGAUAGUCAUAGUACUUCAAAAGAGUCCAAAUGCAAUGUAGUGUAACCUUAGUUAACUCAAAGCUGGGAUGUAACUAUGAUUUAAGACCCUUUAAAAUCACAUUAGUCCAAGUAGUCUAAAUGAGUCCAGAUGCAAUGAUGUCACCUUAGUUUGAAAUGUUCUGAAAACUAGCAGAGAAAGAGUUGGCGAAUAGAAUUGCAGUGUAAGUAAGAGUUAUCAAACUGUGCUUUUAUUUGGAAAAGGGGAAGAAGUUUAAGUUGUAUUCAAAGUAAUAUCUGAGGCCAGAUAGUAGUGAAAACGAGUUCAGAUUCAAUGUAUGUUACCUUAUUUAUUCCAACUACUUUUUCCUUUCUUGUGUGUUCUGAAGAGUAUAGAUAAUUGGGGGAUUAAAUGGUAUUAAACUUUGCUACAACUUAGUUAUAUACAGGGAUUAGAACACAUAAUUUAACACAGUUCUAGUGGUAAAUUUAUAUUUUGUAACAGUGAUGGCUCUGAAAUGUCAAUAGAAGGGUAUCGAAGGCCUUUUCUUCUUUGAUUUCUGAAGUUCAAGUUUGAUCUCUCGACAUUGAAAGGCAUGGAAGAGAUGAGAUCAUGAGCUGGAUCUUAAAUUGCAGGCUCUUUCCUAAUCUUAAAAAUAUAAAAGAUACUGAUAAAAAAAAAUUGACAGUAAACUACAUGGAUGAAGCACAUAUAUUUGUAUAUGGAUUCAUCAUCGUGUUUUUUCUUCUGUUUUGACCUUUUAGCAAGUUUGCUUAACAUGUUACUGUUGUUUUAUCAAUAAUUAUAUAAUAUACAUUAUGUGCAGACAGCCAUGCCCCCCAAGGGUUUAAAGGUCAAAGGUGACAAAUGGUCAAUUAGGCUUGAAGCGUCCAAACAUGGGAUUUUUCGUUUGGGACCUUUUGAUGACAUGGAUGAAGCGCAAAAAGUGCACGACUUCAUCGUCCACAAACUCGGACUCGGUAAACGUGCUUCUCCAGUUUACUUAGAGUCCCAGUUGGUGGGUACGAAAGUUCAUAAAUUCUGUGAAGGGAUGAAAGAUGAGAAGUUUAUGAAAUUGCUAAAGAACAAUGAAUUUUAUCCAGCGUAUAUGAACUUUGUGCUGGAUGGUGCUAACAAGGUUGGAAACGUGGUUGGCGCUGAGGACUUUGUGCUGGAUGGUGCUAACAAGGUUGGAAACGUGGUUGGCGCUGAGGACUUUGUGCUGGAUGCUGCAAACAAGGUUGGAGAAGUGGUUGUCACUGAGGACUUCGUGCUGGAUGGUGCAAAAACUCCAACUUGUUCUCAAAAGCAAACAAUUGCUAAACAUGCAAUGUAGGUAAGCAUCCAGUACCCUACACUCCAAUAACGAAUUCAAGUACGAAAAACACCAACUAGUUCUCAAAAGCAAACAAUUGCUAAACAUGCAAUGUAGGUAAGCAUCCAGUACCCUACACUCUAAUAACGAAUUCAAGUACAAAAAACAGCAUAUGACUUAAAAUAGCUAAUAAAAAGCAAACAGUUGCUAAACAUGUAUAUGUUGGUAAGUAUCCACCCUAGACUCUAAUCUGUUAGGACCAUGUAUUGCUCCUUCACUCCAGAAGUCUUGGUUGCCUAUUCUCUAUACAAACCUUCCUCAAUAAUCUUCCAAAAUGGCAAAGAGUUUACUCCCCAUCUCCUCUGCUGAUGAAACAGCCUUUUCAGCUAUUUCUAGAUGUUGCUGCAGGUCUUUCAUCAUUAUUUUCAGUACCAAAAUAUUAUCGGCAUUGGAAACGUGGUUGGCUUCUUCAAUUAGGGCGAGGAGCCAACGAUUUCAGCGUAUUCAAAGUGAUAUGUCAGAUCAGGUUGUUGUGGUAGUAAAAAGGAGUCUAGAUGCAAGUAAUGUAACUAUAGUUGACUCCAGUUUCUUUCAAGUUCUUUUUUCGAAUGUGUUCUGAAAACUAGAAUCGCAAGAACUGCGCAAGAACUGGAGAAAACUGGGAUGCUAGUAAGAAGUAUUAAACAAUGUUUUUUCAUUUAGAACUCGAUUAGAUAGUCAUAGUACUUCAAAAGAGUCCAAAUGCAAUGUAGUGUAACCUUAGUUAACUCAAAGCUGGGAUGUAACUAUGAUUUAAGACCCUUUAAAAUCACAUUAGUCCAAGUAGUCUAAAUGAGUCCAGAUGCAAUGAUGUCACCUUAGUUUGAAAUGUUAUGAAAACUAGCAGAGAAAGAGUUGGCGAAUAGAAUUGGAGUGUAAGUAAGAGUUAUCAAACUGUGCUUUUAUUUGGAAAAGGGGAAGAAGUUUAAGUUGUAUUCAAAGUAAUAUCUGAGGCCAGAUAGUAGUGAAAACGAGUUCAGAUUCAAUGUAUGUUACCUUAUUUAUUCCAACUACUUUUUCCUUUGAAUACGUUGAAAUCGUUGGCUCCUCGCCCUAAUUGAAGAAGCCAACCACGUUUCCAAUGCCGAUAAUAUUUUGGUACUGAAAACAAUGAUGAAAGACCUGCAGCAACAUCUGGAAAUAGCUGAAAAGGUUGUUUCAUCAGCAGAGGAGAUGGGGAGUAAACUCUUUGCCAUUUUGGAAGAUUAUUGAGGAAGGUUUGUAUAGAGAAUAGGCAACCAAGACUUCUGGAGUGAAGGAGCAAUACAUGGUCCUAACAGAUUAGAGUCUAGGGUGGAUACUUACCAACAUAUACAUGUUUAGCAACUGUUUGCUUUUUAUUAGCUAUUUUAAGUCAUAUGCUGUUUUUUGUACUUGAAUUCGUUAUUAGAGUGUAGGGUACUGGAUGCUUACCUACAUUGCAUGUUUAGCAAUUGUUUGCUUUUGAGAACUAGUUGGUGUUUUUCGUACUUGAAUUCGUUAUUGGAGUGUAGGGUACCGGAUGCUUACCUACAUUGCAUGUUUAGCAAUUGUUUGCUUUUGAGAACAAGUUGGAGAUUUUGUUCAUUUUUGCUUUCCAUGUUUAUAUAAUGGAUGAUGCCGGUGGAUGAAAUCGUGUUCCUAGCAUUGCUGGUUAGCUCGGGUUUUUAGCUUGUAAACACAUAUUUAAAAGGGAAAACUUCAAAAACCCCUUAUGUGGUUUCACUUUUUUUCACUUUAGUACUAUGUGGUUAAAAUGUAUCAAGUUAGUAUCCUGUAGUUUCUCACUUUAUCACUUUAGUACUACGUGGUUUAAAGUGUAUCAAAUUAGUACCUUGUGGUUUUGCAUUUUAACACUUUAGUAUCCUGUGGUUUUAAUUUUGUAUAAAGUUUGUACCCUGUGGUUUAAAAAAUCACAGGGUACUAAAGUGAUAAAAUAGAUCACAAGAUACUAACUUGAUACAUUUUAAACCACAGGGUACUAAAGUGAAAAAAGGUGAAACUACAUAGGGUUUUUGAAGCUUCGCUAUUUAAAAUUCAAAAAUAGAAAUACAAUAAUUGCGAAAAUUUUUCUAAUCUUUUGCUUUGUUUGCUACGCAAGUACAAUAGCUGCCUUCAUUGUUUUGAUCUCGUGGAAGAACUAAUAAUUAUGUCAAUGUGGUUACCUAGGCCUCUUACGAGCGACAUUACCUUUUUUUUAUUUAUUUUGUUCUUUUUAGUUGAUAUUUGGGUUCUCGGCCUAACUAGCCUGUUAUUGGUUGGGCCUACGGUGGGCCUGGAUUUAUGGGCCAACUAAAUUUAUCUUACGAUAUCCUUUGUCACGCACAACUUUCGCGAGGAUGAGCGUCGCUGCUGUCAGUGCUGUGUACAUGCAUGUCUCUCAAAAGAUGUCAUUAAAAGCUUUUAAGUGUAUUGAUGCUCCCGAUAAUCCUAUCAUAGAUAUAUAUAAUCUAAGAUAAAAAUUAACUGGAAUGGAGAUAAGAGAUCCAAGUUGUGUCGUUGCUUCCUAUAUAUCAUGAGCUGUGUACAGUUGGAAACAAGUAAUUUAAACUGAAAAAGGCUUCACGCAUUAACAUAAUUAAGUGAAGUUUAAUUAUUUCGAGUAUUAAUUGACCUUAAACAAUAUUUUGGCCAUGCACUUCAUUUAUAACUUUGCUUGUCCUAAUUUCUAGGAAUUGACUUCCAUAAUUAACCGUAUGGAGAAACAUAUUUAACAUAUAGUGUAGAUCUGUUUUGGACCAGCAAGGGCUUCUAAAAGGUAUUAUUUAACUACUAUUUUAGUCCAAAUGUCAGAACUUUGUAUAUUAUUGUAAUAUAUUUAGGCCCGUUUGGUUGGGGAACAAGAUAUAGAAUAAGGCUAUGUUUGGUUGGGGGAUAAGGAUGGAAUAAAGAGUUUAUUCCAUCCUUAAUUUUCAAACAUAAACAAAAAAUGAUGGAAACACUAGUUCCCAUCCCUUAACGAGCAUAACCCAAGGUGGAACAAGGUGGGAUAACCCAGCUUGUUCCACCCGUGAAGAGAGAGUGAGAGAGAGAGAGAGAGAGUGAAAGAAAAAUUUUAAUUUAUUAUAAAAUUUAAAUUUUGUAAGUUUAAAAAUUAAUAUUUAUAAUUUUUAAAAUUAUAAUUUUUAAAAUUAUAAAAUUUAAAAUUUAAAAUUUAAAAAUUUAAUUUUAAAUUUUAAAUUUUGAUAUUUCAAUUUUUUAUUUAGAAUUUGAUUUUUUGUAUUUUUAAAUUAAAAUUUCAUCUUAAAUUUAAAGUUUAAAAUUUAAAAUUUUAAUUUUUUAAAAUUAUAAAUUUGAGAUUUUUAAAUUUUUAAAUUUUAAAAUUUAAUUUUGAUUUUUAGAAUAUAAAUAUAAAAUAAAAAAAAAUUCUAAUAUAAAAAAAAGAAUAAUAAUAAUAAUAUUUUUUUUAAUAACUACCCAUUUUAAUUCUUAUUCCAUCUUACCUAACCAAACGCUAUUUUUUUUAUUUUCAGGAAUAACCCAAUUUUCAUCCAAACGCAAAAUUGAUCUAAUCCCCGGUUAUACCUCAAUUUAUACCUAUCCUCGGAAUACCCACUUUUUGCUUAUUCUCAAACCAAACAAUACCUAAGAGAUUAUUCCCUCCUUGUUUUCCAAACGAAAAUUAAGGGAGUGCGAACAGCUGUUCUCCCUUUUUAAUGAUCUUGAUGUUCCCAUUGCUCUUCGAAAAGGUGUCCGAAAUAAAAGUAAAUACCCUAUAUCUGAUUUUGUUUCUUAUGCAUCCUUAUCACCUUCAUAUAGAGCUUUUGUUUCGUCCUUGUCUUCUGUGUCAAUUCCACAUAAUUGGAAAGAGGCAUUAAUUGAUCCAAAAUGAAAAGGAGCUAUGGAUGAAGAAAUGAGGGCACUCAAAAAGAAUAAUACAUGGGAGCUAGUUGAUCUUCCAGCAAAAAAAAAGGACAGUAGGAUGUAAAUGGGUCUUCACGGUGAAAUAUAAAGCUGAUGGCUCAGUGGAAAGAUUCAAAGCAAGAUUGGUGGCAAAAGGAUUCACCCAAACAUAUGGGAUUGAUUAUCAAGAGACUUUUGCUCCAGUGGCAAAAUUGAAUUCUGUUCGUGUCCUUCUCUCAUGUGCUGCAAAUUUAGGAUGGGAUUUACAACAAUUGGAUGUAAAAAAUGCAUUCUUACAUGGAGAUUUACGAGAAGAAGUAUAUAUGGAGAUGCCUCCCGGCUUUUCGACUCAGAAAAAUAUUGGAAAGGUCUGCAGACUAAAAAAGGCAUUAUAUGGCCUGAAACAGUCGCCUAGAGCAUGGUUUGAUAGAUUUUGCCGAGCAAUGUUAAACUUUGAAUAUAAACAAAGUGAUGUUGACCAUACUAUGUUCAUCAAGAAAGACGAGCAAAAUCACCAUUCUUAUUGUUUAUGUCGAUGACAUAGUAAUCACCGGAAAUGACCCACAAGAAAUGAGUAAACUGAAAUGUUACUUGGCUAAGGAAUUUGAGAUAAAAGAUCUUGGAAAGUAAAGGUACUUACUAGGAAUUGAGGUGGCGAGAUCUUAGAAAGGAAUUUUUAUUUCUCCAAGAAAAUAUGUGCUGAAUUUACUUCAAGAGACUGGAAUGUUAGGGUGCAAACCAGUUGAUUCGCCAAUAGAAGUGAAUCAUCGGUUGCAAAGUAAAAUCGGAAAAGAAGUUGACAAAGAAAGAUACCAGAGGUUAGUAGGUAAAUUGAUAUACUUAUCUCACACACGACCUGACAUCUCUUAUGCAGUUAGUGUGGUUAGCCGGUAUAUGCAUGACCCAAGAGUAUCACAUUUGGAGGCUGUUUAUCGUAUUCUAUGAUACAUGAAGUCAGCUCCAGGAAGUGGACUUCUAUUUUCUAGAAAUGGUCAUUUGAAGAUUGAAUCCUUCACUGAUGCUGAUUGGGCUGGAUCUCCAGAUGAUAGAAGAUCAACCUCUAGAUAUUGUACCUUUGUUGGUGGAAAUUUGUUUACUUGGAGAAGCAAAAAACAAGAUGUAGUAGCCAGAUCUAGUGCAGAAGCUGAAUAUAGAGCUAUGGCUCAAGGUGUUAGUGAAAUUCUAUGGCUUAGAAGGUUUAUGCAAGAGCUUAAUAUGGCAGAUGAGAAACCAUCAAUACUAUAUUGUGACAAUAAAGCAGCUAUUAAUAUUGCUCACAAUCCGGUACAACAUGACAGAACAAAGCACAUCGAGAUCGAUAGGAAUUUUAUCAAAGAGAAUUUGGAAAAGGGCAGCUUACGCAUUCCAUUUGUGAAGUCAAGUGAUCAAUUAGCUGAUAUUCUCACUAAAGGAGUUGGUAGAGCAGUCUUCAAUAACAUUGUGUACAAGAUGGGCAUGAGAAAUAUCUAUGCACCAUCUUGAGGGGGAGUGUUGACUAUUCUUUUAUAAUUUUGCAUUACUUUUAUAGUUUUGUAAUUUUACUGUAAAAACUCUUUGAUAUAAAUAAAUCUCUUUGAGGUUAGGGAAAAUUAACCCUAAUCACAAUCUUAAUAUCAAUUUCAUCACCUUCCUUCAAAGCUUCGCGAGCUUUUCCUUCAGCAUGUUUCCUUCUGCUUCUUCCGCCCGGAGUUUUCUCCUCCCACCGCUUCAUGUUGAGAUGAAGAGCUUUCUUCUGUUCUUGUUUAAGUUGGAGACCAAUUAAGUGACAUUUACAAAAAACGUUGUCCUGGGAUGUUACAUUACCUCUCUUAAGGUCUAUAUUAGUCGUGCUGUAGUUUUUUGUACUCAUGUCAAAAUUAAAAGCUCCAAAUUUGAAGUUAUGAUUUUGAGCUUUAAAAUCUCAUUUCUGAUUUAUACCAGGGGAGAAGCUUCAUCUCUCAAAUGUUCAGUUAGAGGUAACGUUUGCCGGAAGCAAAAACUGAAGCUAGGCCAAACAGGCGCAUAGUUUGAUCAGAUUCUUGAUGUGUAUUAGUAUCCUCUCUCUUGAUGUGUUACAAAGAUUGAUGCUGUAGCAAACUAUUUAUUUAUUGAAUGGUUGGACUAUUAUAGUCAUCUGUGUACGUUUACAUGUCCAAAUGUAUCAUUAAGCAUAAGCAAACAAUCUGUUUUAUGUUUUUCGAUCUUUUAAUUGUAUAAAAAUGACUGAAGAAGCUUCUCAAAAAUGGGCAGUCCCACGGUUGAGCGAAAGGAUUCUUUCGUCCCUGUCUUGGAGAUCUGUAGCUGCACAUCCUUGGCAUGAUCUUGAGACAGGUAGAUUUCUAAUGAGAUUAUUAUUGCCUAUCAACUCUUACAUUAACACACAGAAGCUAACUGUUGGUACAAAUUUACAUGCAAGUCCUGGAGCUCCCUCCGCUUUCAAUGUUGUAAAUAUUAGUUUUAAGCGCAUCACAUAUAGGCUUCCUUUCACUAUGCUUAUUUUAUUUUAUUUUACUUUUUAUGGUUUAUUUCAACUCUAAUUCUAGGUAAUUAGAUGCACUAACACAUGGACUAAUCUAUUCUAUUUGUUGUUGGAUAGCAUCUCAAUUCGUCUUUACUAAAUAAAAGGCAAAGAAGUGAUCAAGGUAUGCGUUGGUUAGACUUCCAUCCAGCUAUCUCUAAUAUGUGCUUAUCUAUAUCAAUCUCUUCUCUAUCUUGAGAAUUCCUUAAAAUUAUUUAGCUUUUUUGGUCAUGCUGGAGCUUCUACGGAAAUUUUUUGUGAGUUGAGUUACUUGAAUACGCCAUCCAUCUUCUUAAGUAUCCCGAGAACAGUUUUUGCUAUGACAAAAGCAAAAGAUUGUAUUUGAAUCUUAUGCUCUACGGGCCAAAAGCUUAUUUUAGCUUUCCCUCUACAGCUAGAAGCUCUAGAACUUUCAGCUAUCUCGAUCUCACAGGAGGUUUUGGGAUACCUGUUGCCUUCGUUUAGUUUUUUUUUUUGUUUUUUUGGUUUUUUUUUUUAUUUUUAUGGAGGCCUGGCGUCCCCACCUUGUAGCUUAAUUCAUAUCCCUGUGGAAUGAAGUGGUAGCAUGUUACAAUUUUAUCUAAAAAAAAAAGGAAAAGAAGAAUUUUCAGCUAUCUAACUCCCGUAAUCUGCCUAUUAAAUGGCACAAUGUUCGAAAACUUGGGCCCAUCAAUCAUAUCACAUUCAGUAACUGUUGGGUAGUUCAAUGUGUCCCUGAAUUAUAGAAAUAUUGAUGAUCCUGGAUGUUGCUAUCCUAUUCACUAUUUCAAAUAACUAAUUUGCAAAGUUCAUGAAUAUUGUUAUCGCAAGUUGACAGGAUUCUGUAGUCAUCAGUGGUCUAUCCUCAUAACUAUGGUAUCAUACCAUGAACUCUGAAGAUGGUGACCCCAUGGAUGUUUUGGUCCUGAUGCAGGUGACUAGAAAUCUACAUUACUAUUUUAUUUUCUUGAAGGAGAAAAAGUGCCUCUAUUUCGAAACUGUCUUUUUUUCCCCUUUUCUUUUGUGCUGCUCUGUCUAACCGUUGAAUCAGUUUUUCAGAUAAAUGGCACCUAUGUCCUCAUGGCUACCGUAUUGUAAUUUUAACUAAUAAUAAGGUUUUAUAGGUAAACAGUGCCUCUUUGAUGCUCCUAACAUAAUUCUUUUGCCCCUGCACUUGUUUGAAUAGGAACCAAUUGUUCCGGGUUGCUUUCUUAGUGCAAGGGCCAUAGGUCUUAUGCCUAUGAUUGAUCAGGUACUCAUUACUCAAUGUUGUAGCUCAUGAUGUCCCCAACAACCUCCAACCUUCUUUAAAUUAUCUUUUUUUUCCCUUCCCUUUUGUUUAUAAGUGCCGUCCUCCCUUGCUUCAUUCUGUAUCAGGGUGAGAAAGAUGAUAAGAUAAUUACAGCUGUGCUGAUGAUCCGGAAUACCGCCACUACAAUGACCAUAACGAGCUCUCUCCUCACCGACUUGCUGAAAUUCGUUGCUUCUUUUGAGGACUGUAUCCUUUUUUUUAAAAAAAAUCGAUGAGUUUUAUAUGUCAUUUUGUUGGUCCUUUCCUUUUUUAACUUAACUUUGAAAUCCUAGUAGCCUUGACAUUGAUGUAGACAAAAAGAACGAGAACAAAGAGGUUGCUGUCAAUGAGUUCUUACCUGCAGUCGCUGCCCAGGAAGCUAUUCAGCUCUCUAUGUAAGUCAGUAGCAGCAAUAAAGGCUUGCAUGACUGCAUUUUCCUGUAUCAGCCAUAGAUAAUAUUGUGAGAAAUAAUAGUGUAAUGAUUAAUCGUUUAGCAUUUGUCGUAUGGUAGAAAGGCUGCUUACGACUGUCUUUCCUAAGCCUGCACUCACAAGAGCCUGUUUGACUUACCUAGAGUUUCUAUGAGUGUUGUUCAAGUAGAACAUUUUGAACAGUUUUUCUAGCAAAAACCAGCCCUCUGCUAACCGCUUCCUAUUACAUUAUUGUCAGUAGUUUCGUAUUGAAGCUCUUGCUUCUGUGACGUAAAAGAUUAUCUCAUUUUGCAGCUAUAGCAGAAGCUCCAAAUGGAUCCUUGCUAUUGUUUCAAGGAGUUGCUUUGCAUAGUAGAGAAAUUUUUUGAAAAGCCUGCCAAGCAUGCAAAUAUUCCACUGAUAAAUCCCUUCAAAUAUGAAAACAUGUAGAUUUCUUGGUCAUGUACAUAUUAGCACGUUUUAAUAGAAUAUAUUCUUCUUUUCUUUUUUUCGCUCCCUAUUCUGAAACCGUCUUUUUGGCUGUGGAUUUAGGGAUCUGUAUGCAGACUAUAUCUUGCACAAUCUCAGGCGCUAGAUUGGGCGGGUUCUUUGAUAACUGAGACUUUGGAAGGCUAAUUAAUACUUCUGCUCAGUUUACCUUAAUUUUGGACUAUUUUGAUUUUUUUUGUAUCAGAUAUGUUUUAUCCAAAUUCUGGUUUCCUUUUGAAACUUUUGUCAGAUCAUGGGAGCUCGUGUUUUUCGUAUUAACUAUUGAUCUAUUGAAUGCAGUUUGCACUGGCUCUUUUAAAUCUGAGUUUCCUCACGAAAUUUCUACUGUGGACCAGAUGUUUUAUUUUCCUUGUAAUAUUGAUAUAGCAAAACGAGGAUUCUCAGUCAUUGGCUCAUGGCCGUAAGAAAGUACGAUAACUUUAUCUUGUGAAAUAUAUUUUGAUACCUCUUUAUCUUAAAAGAAUCCCUCUUAUUUGGUCAUCUCCUGGAAUUGUGUUUCCAUUGCAAGUAGCAACAAGGCAUUUUAUAGGCAAAAUUCUAGAAAUUUUGCAGUGAAUUUAAGAAGAGUUUCUUGAUGUUUGUACUUUAUAGCAUGAAGCUGUGGGAGAGAUUUUGAUAAAAAUGUUACUACAACAAGAAGCCAGGUCAAAUAGACCUUCUAUUAUGGAGUGAGCAACGCUGUGACUUUGAUGUACGAUGACUUUUCGUUCGAAGGCUCCAAAAAAGUAGUGGUUCAUUCUAUUAGUGAAAAGAUUAUCGAAUACUAUCAGUUUUAGUAGAUAAAUCUGUUCAAUCGUGGAGAUUAUUUAGAUUCGAAUUUUAAAGAACGUGAGAUUGAAUAUUAGUUAUCCAAUGCGUGCAUCAGAUACUUUUUCCGUAGAAGGAUUUGAAUUAGACUAAAAUAUAAUAGAUAUAUCUUAAAAUUAGAUUGGUCAUCUACAGCAGAUAUUAGAUUAAAAUAUCUAAUUCUAAAGCCUGUGCGAUUGAACAGUGCUUUGCUGAAAACGAAUUAAAUUGAAUUAGAAUAGGAAUUGGAGUUGGAGUGGGAGUCAGAGAUUGAUAGUAAAGAAUUUGAAUUAGAUUAAAAUAUAAAUGAUAAAUGAUAUAUCUUAAAAUUAGAUUUGCCAUCUACGGCAGAUAUUUGUUAGAGAUCUACUCUCUUUCCAACGGCACACGCCUAUAUAUAUAAAUACAUAGGAAGGAUCUUACCUUAGAAUAGUUAUUACUUGUAUAAUUCCAUCAAAACGGACCCCCGCCCCGCAGUUGGAGUUUGAAUUGGGUUGCUUGAACUCACAAACGACGGCAAUGAAGAAGGCGAUCAGCGGAGGCCGCACGCUUCCGGAGAAUGUCAUCGCGUACGGCGUCCUCCCUCGGCUCCCGGCCAAAACCCUCAUCAGGUUGCAGUGCGUGUCGAAGCGCUGGCGCGCCUUGAUCUCCACCGACCCCCACUUCAUGCGCCUGCAGGACGCCCACGCCCGCUCCUCCCCCGCCCUCCUCGUCUUCGGCGAGACGCCCUGCCCAGUCUUCCUGUCCCGCCGAGAAUCGCCCCGGUCUAUCGGCUUCCCGAGACUCUUCAGGCAGCCCCAGUUCUGCAGCCCGCUGGGCAACUGGCUCCCCCUCGCAGCCUGCGGCGGAAUCCUCUGCAUUGCUACAGCAGCCUCGAGCAGCGAUUGGACAUCCGGGCUCUACUUGGGUAAUCCGGUGUGGAUGGACUGGCGGCGUCUCCCUGCGCCCCCAGGCUGGACCCCCCAGUCUGAUGGUACGAAGAUGCAGUUAGCCGUCCACGACACGGAGGACGGUACUCUCUACAAGCUUGUCGUGCCGUUUUUAACGCAGAGCGGUAUCGCUGGCCGAGCAGAAGCUGCUUUCCUCGUCUUCUCCUCCACCAAGGGCUCGUGGGAGAUAUCUCAACAGAAAGUUUUGGUGAAGUUGCUGGACUCUCGGGACCUGAUAGUGGGAUUAAGACAUUGUGUGUGUGUGGAGGGAGUAUUCUUUUGGCUUGCCGCACUUGAGGUGUUAUGGUUCGAUCCGAGAGAUGAGCGCGGCGGCGUCAUCCCUUUGCCAUUCAUUCCAUUGCCACGGAACAUCGGUGAAUGGGAAGGGAAGUUGAGCUUCGCGACGUUGGUUGACAGGGAGAUCCGUAUGUGGUCCUGGAACCGGUCCUCUUGGUCCUCGAGGACUUUGCUUACAAUGGAGACGGCCGCGAAGGCCGAUCCGGACUUCUUCGCUUCCAUGGGCCUCAGGAUGAAUCUAAGAAGCCGAAGUGCUGAAUCGUUGGAUGUCAUCCUUGACAGCACCCGUCCGUCUAUUGCUGCCUUUGGGGCCGGUUUCAUCAUACUAAUGUUUAGGCCGAGGCCUCCGGGGUUUUGUUUCCGGGGGCUCUGCUACGAUGCAGCAACCGGAAAGGCAUGGAAAUUGAAGGGAGCGAUGGGGGGCCAUGAAAGCUCGUCGACACCAUUUGCCUAUGCGAAUAGCCUUCUUAAACUGACAACUCCUUGAUUACUGCAACAGUCGGCAGCUUCUCGAGCCGUACAUUGUUAUUUAAUUUAUGGAAGUUUUGUGCGUAUUCUGCAAUGUAGACGAUCGCUUUGCAAUAGAGUUUAUUAUAUAUAUUUUUUCUCUCUGAACUUCGGAGAAACAAAUCACCGUUUUAUGUUUAUUUUAUUUUCAUAUAACAAUUCAAGUAAAGAAGAAGAUGCAUUCCACGAUUCUCAUGACAUAUAUUGCUUUUGGAUUCAUUAUAAAGAAGUCUGAGUAAGAAGUCUGAGUAAGAUGAAAUAUAUUGCUUUCGAUUCUAUGAUUUACGGAUUUUUGGAUCACGGGCAAUUGACCCAUCUGUGGCCAUCUUGAGUUGUAUGCUUAAAGAAAUUGUUCAUUGGGAUCAUGUCUCGUACAUUGCGGUCCUCGGCCUUUGUGCGGGUUUAAAAGAUUCAACUUUGGGCUGGCAGGUCUAUGGUCAAAUCUUGAAAAGAAGAAUGGAGUUGAGUGUUUUUGUGGUAGUGCAAUCGUAGACAUGUAUGGAAAAUGUGGCGAUGCCCAAAAUGCUCAGAUUGUUCUCGAGAUGCUUCAGAACAAGAAUGUAGUUUCUUGGACGACUGUCAUGGCUGCAUGUGCACAAAAUGAGUGCUUCGAAGAUAUGCUGAAGUUAUUUUAAAGAUGGAAAUAGAUGGCAUUAGUCCAAACGAGUUCACUUGUGCAGUUGCUCUCAAUUCCUGCGCCGGUUUGUCAGCUUUGAGGAACGGCGAUGCCCUAAAUGGUCACAUAGAAAAAUCAGGGUAUAAAUCUCUCUCGACCAUCGAUACUGCUUUGAUUAACAUGUAUUCAAAGAGUGGCAGUAUUGAAGACGCGACAAGAGUAUUCACGACAAUGUCUCAUCAGGACAUAAUCUCGUGGAAUUCGAUUAUAAGUGCAUACUCCCAUCGUGGGCUUGCAAGAGAAGCUGUCGAAGCUUUUCAUAAUAUGCUGGCUGAAGCUGAGGUUCCAACUUAUGUAACCUUCAUUGGGGUGCUUUCAGCUUGUGGGCAUUUGGGUUUGGUCGACGAAGCGUUUUACUACUUAAAUCAUUCUAUGCAGGAGCUAGGGAUAACGCCUGGGACAGAACAUUAUACUUGCAUGCUUGGUCUCUUGUGUGGAGCUGGACUAUUAAAUGAGGCUGAUCAGUUUAUGAGAUCUACAGGCACAGAUUGGGAUAUUGUUGCAUGGCGAACUCUUCUAACUGCUUGCCAAGUGCAUAAAAAGUACGGUUUAGGCCACCAAGUUGCUAAUACAUAUUAUUGAAUUAAAUCCCAGUGAUGUAGGAACUUAUAUUUUGCUAUCUAAUUUGUAUGCUAAAGAGAAUCGAUGAGAUGGAGUAGUGAAAAUUAGGAAGAUAAUGAGAGAAAGAUGCAUUAAGAAGGAACCUGGUGUUAGUUGGAUACAAGUAGGAAGUGUAGUCCAUUUUUUUACUUCAGAAGAUAAGAAGCAUCCAUGGAUGAUGCAGAUCAAUGAAAAAUUAGCAGAACUAAUAGGCCAGAUAAAGCUUUUUGGAUAUGUUCCUAAUAUUGAUUCAGUUUUGCAUGAUGUCGAGGAGGAACAGAAAGAGUAUCUCAGAUAUCAUAGCGAGAAAUUGGCUAUUGCUUUCGGGCUUAUUCGGACUCCUCAAGGAGCUCCCAUUCAUGUCAUGAAGAAUCUGAGGAUUUGCAAUGAUUGUUAUGUUGCUAUAAAGCUCAUUUCAAUCGUGACCAAGAGGAGAAUGGUUCUAAGAGACGCCAGUCGGUUUCAUCGAAUUGACGGUGGAGUAUGUUCUUGUGAUGAGAAGAAUAGCCUUGACUGUUGUAAAGAAACUUCUGAUUGAGCUCAGUUUGCUGAUAAUAUGUUAAUAAUAGAGAGAAUUUUUAAUUUUCUUGUAAAUCUAUUUCAAUCUCCAUGGCCAGUAAGAACUGUAUAUCCCUACCAAAACAUUUUUUCUGUUUUCUAACUUCUGAUUAGCUGAUCCUGUAUUAGAAACAUCGGCACUGGUUGGUGGAAAUUUCAUUUGCUUAUCUAACUUAUUUAUACGUCGAGCACUAACAGUGAUAAAAAAUUUAUAAGAAGAUACCAGCAUCUCAAGUCGAUCAUUCUCUUCUAUUUAUGCUGUUUUCUUUCUAUUUUUUUAUUUCUAUCAUUUACUCUCUGCUUGGUGCACAAUUACUGCAGAAUCAGUUUAUCAACUAUUUUCAUUUUUGCUGCAUCAGAUACUUCUACUUUCCAAAUUCUGGCUUUCUGCUGAAACUUUUGACAGAUCAUGGAAGCUCGUGUUUUCAGGAAAUGUAGUAACCAUCAAGCACGAGAACUGCUAAAACAGAUCCCAUGGCCACCUUAUUUGAGAGCUCUCCAGAAAAUACACCAAGCUGGUUGUUUGUAUGAUUCAGAAGAUUGAUCAAUAACUUAUUGACUUGACAUAUGUGGCUUCAUUCUUAAAGCUAAUGAUUUUUUUAUCACAUAGGGGCUGUUUUUUUAAUAUUUUUUAUAACUAAUCCUAUCAAUUUUUAUAAUUAUACAAAUAAUUUUCUUAAAAAAAUAAUUAUAAAAAUGGACUUUUAAGUACAGUGAAUAAUUCACUGUAUUCAUUACUUCUAUUUACCAGUAAAAAAAUAAUAAAAGCAAUAAACUAUUCACCGUUUUUAUUAUCGUAGAAUUAUAAUAAAAAGAAAGAAAAAGAAACAAAGCGUGAAUGAUUCACCGUUUUAAAAGCUGUGAAUCAUUCACCACUUUUAUAAAAUUACAUCUACAAAUAAAAUUUUAAUAGAUUUAUUUUUAAAAUAAUUUUAGAAGAGUACUAUUGAACUAAAAACCCGUUUUUUUUGUCAAAAAUGAAGAAGAAAAGCGCUUUAUGGGAAAGAGUGUCUAAGACUGAUAGAUUAAAGAACUCCAAGUAAGAAAUAUAUGCAUCCAAAAUAUGCAAUGCAUUUUUGAGACAAAAAGAAAUGAAAAAGAAUAGUAACAUCCUUGCUGCAUAGAAGAUAUUGCCACUUUCACGAUGAUAUUUUAAAUUUUUAUGCCUUUCAAUCACUUCAAACUAAUCAACUUGCUAUACAAAUCAUCACAAAAUAUGAUAAAGAAAGCGAACGUAUCGCAUCAGCAAUAAAUCUUUUGCAACCAGACAAAAAUUUCAAAUUGAAGAUUAGCAAUCAUUAGCAACUGGAAAUCUCAACUGCAUUUCAUUAUAGGUGACAAUUUGGGGAAUUUCACCAUAACCCCAGGACUUAAACAGCAAAAUGAGAUAAUAGUCAUACAAUGUUUAAUUUGAACAAGCCUCCCUGCUUUUUUAGUUCAAACACGAAAGAGGUUGUAAGAAAAAUAAGUCUUACGAAAAAUAAGUCUUACUAGUCAUAUUACUUGUGACAAAACCACAGGUAGCCUAGUCAACAAGAAAACAUGACAUCUUAUGCUAUAAUGGACAACCGACACAUAAUGAUUAGAAAGUUUAAUCUGGAAAACAAUAGUUGCACCCCAAGAAAGAGAAUCCUUGCUUUUACAAAAUCAUGAGAGAGAGAGAGAGAGAGAGAGAGAGAGAGAGAGAUGAAGGUCCAUGUUCAUCACUAGUCCUGCUCACUGCUACAUUAGAAAGACUUGCACGCUGCUUCUCUGAAAGAAACUUUUUUCUAGGACCUAAUUUAGCAAACAUACAUAAGGGGGCUUCCUUCUUCAGCGUUAAAUAUUUCUUAUCCUCAUGUCAUAAUCAGCUCCGUGAAAUAAAGCACCAUACCAAAACAUCUUGCAUAGUAUUUGCACUGAUUUCUCCAUUUGCGAGGAUAUACGCGAGUUCUUAUCAGCAAAGCCAGCAAUAGUAG